This 429-nucleotide ribosomal RNA is filed under the name Chloroflexota bacterium. Its description in RNAcentral is "Chloroflexi bacterium partial 16S ribosomal RNA". It matches the Rfam family "Bacterial small subunit ribosomal RNA", at positions 355 to 776 of the family's 1533-position model. The record is from RNAcentral. Lineage: Bacteria; Bacillati; Chloroflexota.
UGGGGAAUAUUGCACAAUGGGCGCAAGCCUGAUGCAGCCAUGCCGCGUGUAUGAAGAAGGCCUUCGGGUUGUAAAGUACUUUCAGCGGGGAGGAAGGCGAUAAGGUUAAUAACCUUGUCGAUUGACGUUACCCGCAGAAGAAGCACCGGCUAACUCCGUGCCAGCAGCCGCGGUAAUACGGAGGGUGCAAGCGUUAAUCGGAAUUACUGGGCGUAAAGCGCACGCAGGCGGUCUGUCAAGUCGGAUGUGAAAUCCCCGGGCUUAACCUGGGAACUGCAUUCGAAACUGGCAGGCUAGAGUCUCGUAGAGGGGGGUAGAAUUCCAGGUGUAGCGGUGAAAUGCGUAGAGAUCUGGAGGAAUACCGGUGGCGAAGGCGGCCCCCUGGACGAAGACUGACGCUCAGGUGCGAAAGCGUGGGGAGCGAACAGG